AUCAUACGUCCCGAACACCUCAGGCGAGCGCUCUACCGACUGAGCCAAAUCCAUCCCCAAGGUACACACGGGAUACUUUUGUCCCAUAAACUGGCCAUCGCUUCGGUCAUCUUGUUCGUUCAUCCGUGACUUUAAAAUUCCUCGAGCAGCCACUGAGACGGAAAAAUCCACUGGUCUUGACCAUCUCGUGCAGGGAUUGACAACUCGUUUAAAACCUGAAUUAGACAGACGUAGAUCACAACCCAGCACUAAUGGGUAACAGCAACAGUCAGACGCCUCAAACCCGAUCCAGUGCGUACCGUGGGUAUAGUGCGCCUUCUUCCGCCGAGCUGCCGUCGUCAGCCAAAGUGGACUCGCCUCCGAUGGACAUCAGCGAGUCGUCAGUCAACGAACAGUGCUGUAUCUCCACGGAUAAAGAUGGCGUAAAGGGUAUCGUGAUUGGUUGAAACUGGUCACGGGGAAUAGUUUAUACUGUCAUUGGCUGAAACGGUGGUCACGCAGGAUACCCUUGAUGUGACGACGGAACAGAGACGUCAAUAAACUAUCGUGUACAGGCAAAUACAUUCUACAGCUGAAGAUAGUCACUAAAUGAAUAUUGUGGAUUAAAAAAAAACAUAAGCUGCAGUAUAGUAAAUAUUAUUUUAUUAUUUUCAAUAUAUACAUUUAUUAAAA
Molecule: long non-coding RNA, 672 nt
Organism: Gigantopelta aegis
Lineage: Eukaryota; Metazoa; Mollusca; Gastropoda; Neomphalida; Peltospiridae
Exons: 3
Source: RefSeq, a predicted model, not a curated record